AAGGGUGUGGCUCAGUGGGAAGCACUUGCCUAGCAUGAGUGAGGCCCUGGGUUCCAUCCCCAGCACACAUG
Molecule: transfer RNA, 71 nt
Filed under: Marmota monax (woodchuck)
Lineage: Eukaryota; Metazoa; Chordata; Mammalia; Rodentia; Sciuridae
Description: tRNA.Ala
Source: RNAcentral